RNAcentral lists this ribosomal RNA (273 nucleotides) under uncultured bacterium. RNAcentral's name for it is "partial 16S ribosomal RNA". It matches the Rfam family "Bacterial small subunit ribosomal RNA", at positions 524 to 796 of the family's 1533-position model. The record is from RNAcentral.
UACGUAGGGGGCAAGCGUUGUCCGGAUUUACUGGGUGUAAAGGGCGCGUAGGCGGGUUUGUAAGUCAGUGGUGAAAUCCUGCGGCUUAACCGUAGAACUGCCAUUGAUACUGCAAAUCUUGAGUUUGGAAGAGAGAAGCGGAAUUCCAGGUGUAGUGGUGAAAUACGUAGAUAUCUGGAAGAACACCAGUGGCGAAGGCGGCUUCUUGGUCCAUAACUGACGCUGAGGCGCGAAAGCGUGGGGAUCAAACAGGAUUAGAUACCCGUGUAGUCC